This 442-nucleotide ribosomal RNA is filed under the name uncultured bacterium. RNAcentral's name for it is "partial 16S ribosomal RNA". It matches the Rfam family "Bacterial small subunit ribosomal RNA", at positions 338 to 795 of the family's 1533-position model. The record is from RNAcentral.
CCUACGGGAGGCUGCAGUGGGGAAUAUUGCACAAUGGCGGGAACCCUGAUGCAGCGACGCCGCGUGAGUGAAGAAGUAUUUCGGUACGUAAAGCUUCAUCAGUAGGGAAGCAAAAAGGACGGUACCUGAGUAAGAAGCCCCGGCUAACUACGUGCCAGCAGCCGCCGGAAUACGUAGGGGGCAAGGGUUAUCCGGAUUUACUGGGUGUAAAGGGAGCGUAGACGGCGAAGAAAGUCUGAAGUGAAAGGCCGCGGCUCAACCGCGGACCUGCUUUGGAAACUUUUUUGCUGGAGUACCGGAGAGGUAAGCGGAAUGCCUAGUGUAGCGGUGAAAUGCGUAGAUAUUAGGAGGAACACCAGUGGCGAAGGCGGCUUACUGGACGGUAACUGACGUUGAGGCUCGAAAGCGUGGGGAGCAAACAGGAUUAGAUACCCUUGUAGUC